GGGUUGUGAGGUUAAGCGACUAAGCGUACACGGUGGAUGCCCUGGCAGUCAGAGGCGAUGAAGGGCGUGCUAAUCUGCGAUAAGCGCCGGUAAGGUGAUAUGAACCGUUAUAACCGGCGAUACCCGAAUGGGGAAACCCAGUGUGACUCGUCACACUAUCAUUAACUGAAUCCAUAGGUUAAUGAGGCGAACCGGGGGAACUGAAACAUCUAAGUACCCCGAGGAAAAGAAAUCAACCGAGAUUCCCCCAGUAGCGGCGAGCGAACGGGGAGGAGCCCAGAGCCUGAAUCAGCAUGUGUGUUAGUGGAAGCGUCUGGAAAGGCGCGCGAUACAGGGUGACAGUCCCGUACACAAAAGCGCAUGUGCUGUGAGCUCGAUGAGUAGGGCGGGACACGUGGUAUCCUGUCUGAAUAUGGGGGGACCAUCCUCCAAGGCUAAAUACUCCUGACUGACCGAUAGUGAACCAGUACCGUGAGGGAAAGGCGAAAAGAACCCCGGCGAGGGGAGUGAAAAAGAACCUGAAACCGUGUACGUACAAGCAGUGGGAGCCCCACCACUAAGCCAGUGGUGAACUCCACAUACGCAUCCUUUGCUGAGGAUACGGUUAACGGAGCGAAAGCGACGUUCAACCGCAAAAGAAGCAGAGGGGGCUUAGUGGUGGGGUGACUGCGUACCUUUUGUAUAAUGGGUCAGCGACUUAUAUUCUGUAGCA
Molecule: ribosomal RNA, 712 nt
Filed under: Salmonella enterica subsp. enterica
Lineage: Bacteria; Pseudomonadati; Pseudomonadota; Gammaproteobacteria; Enterobacterales; Enterobacteriaceae
Description: partial 23S ribosomal RNA
Rfam family: Bacterial large subunit ribosomal RNA
Source: RNAcentral